GUCGAUUUUGAAGGUGAUGGUUUUGUGCCCAAGUUUUAUAUGGGAAACUGGUCAUUUUCUUCCCUCACAGUGGAGGAUACAAAGAGGCUGAGGCUGGCGUCACCUUCUGUUGCUAAGGGGAAUCGGAACUCCCGGGACCAACUGAGGAUCAGUGCAGAACCGCUGACACUUAACGAUGCCAUUCAUCAGACAGAUCUUUUGAAAACGGAUAGCAUAUGAAUUUAACAGCCUAAUUUCCGGUUAAUAUACAACAAGAAAAGACUGGCAUACAAGUAACUAUUUUGUCUUGAAACUCUGCUUUUGGGACAACAAGGAUGGAUUACCCCAAAAUGGAUUAUUUUCUGGAUGUCGAGUCUGCCCAUAGACUCUUGGAUGUUGAGUCAGCUCAGAGAUUCUUCUACAGUCAAGGAGCUCAAGGUAAUAAAAUGGGAGCAGG
This 436-nucleotide long non-coding RNA is filed under the name Vulpes vulpes (red fox). Its description in RNAcentral is "lncRNA (ENSVVUG00000003931.1)". Lineage: Eukaryota; Metazoa; Chordata; Mammalia; Carnivora; Canidae. The record is from RNAcentral.